RNAcentral lists this long non-coding RNA (1340 nucleotides) under Ursus maritimus (polar bear). Its description in RNAcentral is "lncRNA (ENSUMAG00000015129.1)". Lineage: Eukaryota; Metazoa; Chordata; Mammalia; Carnivora; Ursidae. The record is from RNAcentral.
ACACAUUCCCAGCGAUCCCCGAGUUGGGCACGCAGACUGGUGUUAACAGAGGUCCCGAUGUCCUCCAGUUCUGUUGUUGUUGUUGUCGUUGUUGUUGUUUUUAAUGAGCUCCUCCUUGGGACAUGUGAGUGUUUGUGUCUGUGUCAGGAGGAGUUGUGUUCUUUAUAAAUAAAGGUAGAAAAAAUUUGAUAUGCUUUUGUUUACUCCCCCCCCCCCCUUUAAUUGGAUACUUACCAGCAAAGCUUUACUCCUUCAGUGCAAGUCCCUGGCUUACAUUUUAAGGAUUGGAGGUACUCGGAUGCUUAAAACUACUCUAUGAAAGAAAAUAAUGUUUUGGGCAGAGAUUAGAAUCCAAGAAAUGUUGGCGACUUUGUGGCUGAUUUCUUUUCUUUUUUUUUUUUUUUUAAAGAUUUUAUUUAUUUAUUCGACAGAGAUAGAGACAGCCAGCGAGAGAGGGAACACAAGCAGGGGGAGUGGGAGAGGAAGAAGCAGGCUCAUAGCGGAGGAGCCUGAUGUGGGGCUCGAUCCCACAACGCCGGGAUCACGCCCCGAGCCGAAGGCAGACGCUUAACCGCUGUGCCACCCAGGGGCCCCGUGUGGCUGAUUUCUAUUCCUGUUGAUGAACAAGUCACCAUUUACUUGGUUAACAAGGGCUUUUGACUUGACUCUUGCACAGACAGAGAGGAGCCAUCUCUUCUCUUUCUCGCGAUCCCUGACCUCCUCUCUAGAACCUCCUGGCAGAUGUGCCCAUCAUCCAGCCCUGACUCAGCAGAGCAAGAAGCCCCAAAUGCUAAGGAUCCUCUCCUGGCAGCUUGAGUUGGUUUGCCUUCAAGGCCCCCCAGCUUCUUCUCAGGAACCAGCUUCAUGGGGUUUGACUGACCCUUCCAAGUAGGACACCCCGACUCACCUGGGCUGGUGCCCUCCAUGAGAGUUUGCAGGAGCCCAAGAUGGGUUCCCUGCCCACAGCCAGGACCCCUGCAGCGCCUCUGAUCAGGCCUGCCCCUAAUGUCCGAGGGGCCCACGACGAGGACACGGAAGGGGGCCCACAGAUGGUAAUCCGUCCGAAUAUUUAGAAGUUAUGCAUCAAAUGAACAAAGUGUUAAAUGUGUUCCAUCCUCCUACCUUGACAAAUGUACCCUUACAAUGAUAAGAUUAAAAAAUAUGUGUAAAUAUGUGUAAAAAUAUGUGUACAACUAUGUCAUUCCAUUACUGAAAGUGGUAGAACAGUGACUGUGACCGAAUUUAACCAUAAUUGUUUCUGUCUGGGUGCUCUGUAGAUGGGCCAGCAAUGUUUGAAUGAAUAUAAUAAAAACAUGAAACAUGAAAAUUGUUAUUAUGUA